AAUGGCUUAAAAAAUUAAACUGGGAAUAAAGCUUCAUCUGGGGACCAUAGGCUCCUCAUACAACCCAGCCUCUCCCUCUCCCCUCUGCACAAAACCUUGCUGUAGUUUCUCUCCUACUUCAGCUUCCAAUGUAGUUACCCUGUAUUUUUAGGAGCCCCUUCCCCUUUAUCAGAAGGCCUCCAGAGUCGCCAAGUCCUCCAGGAAGACUUCUUCCACAUCCUUGGAAAGUCUGUGAUCACGGCAACUUGUUUGCUGCCUAGGAUGCCCUCCCUCUGGACGCUUGCUUGUGAAGCCCUCAGCUCAUCUUUUCAUUCUGAGCUUAAGUAGUGAAAUCUGAAAUUUGAGCUCCCCAAUCUGACCAGGGUUCUUCUUCCCUGUGCUGUCGUGCCGUUUCAUCUCUGUGUAGUCAUCAUACUGGAUGGUCCUUUACGUGGAUGUCUAUCUUCCUCUGUGACUACACCCUGGAGAGCACGGGCAGGGUGGGCUCAUCUUCAUGUCCCUGGUGCUUGACAUGGAAGAGGCAAAAUGCUUCCAAAAGGACUUAUUCCAUUACUGAAUAUCCGUAUGAUAGAUGGUUAUGCAGCCUUUAAUACCAUGGUUUCCAAGAUAGUUUAAUAAUAUAAAAAGAUGCUUACAUUUUGCAUAAUAGAAAAAAGUGUACAAAGCUAUAUAUACUAUGAUUCUAAUUCUAUACUCAUAAAGAUAUAUAUUUUUUAUAAUUAUAUGGAUAUCUACAUAUAUAAAUAUAUACACAGAGAAAAAAAGAGACUAGAAGGAAGUGUACCAAAAUCUCAUCUGGUUUUGAUUGUGGAAUUACAUGCUAUUUGUAAUAAAUAUUUUUCUCUAGAUUCUCUAUAGUAAACAUAUACUACUGUUACAAUCAGAAUAAAAAAAUGCGAUUUUUAAAUGAGUUGCAAACACGAACCAUCUUAUAGUGGUGGGAGCACCCCUAAGCCAGUUAGAAUAAAAUUUGGUAAAAUCAAGUACUGUUAAUAAGUGUGUGGUGCCCUGAUAAGUGGGAAAAUAAUAUAAGAGCAUAUAUUUUGGUUAAUAUUCACAGUUGCCUUCUUUACAUAGUUUCCUCAGUAGCACAGGAGAUACUUAAACGAGUCUGCCUCUUACAAGAUUGAAAGUAAUACAUUUUUAAACUAAGGGCUACUGAGAUCACAAAGACACAGAAUUAGGCAUAAAACUCUUUACUAACAGUUCUCCAGGGAAUUUAUCCUCCUAGCACCCCCAGCCCCCAGAAUGAUCUACAGGAAAGUUAAGAUGCAAUUACUUACAGCAUCAGAACACGUCUUUGCUCUGGAUGAUGUGGUAUAUGAUUAAAAUGGGAGACUAAUUUUAAUGGUUAAAAAAUAAAAAGAGCAAGGUAGCAUUUUCUUUUUAAUCUAUGGCUAUGGCAUUAAAUGCCACAUUAACAAGCCUUCUGCAGGGAGGUUCCUUGCAAGAUUAUGACACCUACUCUUUUCUUUGUUCCUCAUUCUCAGGAAAGAACUGAAUUCGCCAGGCCAAUGAGACAGCCAGUCCAGUACUCUGAGUGCCUUUUCAGCUAGAACAUAGUUUCAUGGUUAGUCUUGGGCCUGGGAGUCUGACAGCCAGGGCUGCUUGGCUUCAUCACUUAUAAGUGACGAACUGAGGCUCAGUUUCUCUAUGUGAAAAAUGGGGACAUGAAUACCUACUUUACAAAGUUAUUGAGGAUUCCACAAGAUAAUACAGGUCAGGUGCUCACCACGGCAUCUGAAGCAUAACAAGUGCUCAAAAUGUGGCCAUAUUUGGGACCUAGUUUUACUCCCACUCACUUUCAUUUUGACUGAUUGCUUGACUAGUUUUUUUUUUUCUUUUGCAGCUUCAGUUUCUUCCAGUUCAUUGUAUGGAUUUAUUGUCACAGCCAUGGAAGACCUGUCCUUUACUUUUUCCUCUUUGGCUUGUGGUUUCUGCAUAUUGAUCUCAGACGUUUGAAGACAAGAACUCCUCAAGGGAAACACCUCAAAUUUGCAUUCAACGCAGCUCCAAUUCUGUGUGUUUGCCAUACAUACUUUGCAGUACUAACGAUAGAGAUACCAUCUGAUCUGCCCUGUGCUAAACUGUAUCCUGAGUAAAUGGGAACUUGAGGAUGUACUGCAUUUUUGAAGCAGGCGCACCAGAGGUUAUUCAGAACUGUAAAAGAGGGGCCCCGCACAAGAACCUAAAAGGCUGCUGGGCCUAGAACAAUCCAUGGAGUGCAGAGCACUGAACCAGCAGGAGUCCGACCUGGGUAAGCUGCAAGCCCUCCCUGGGCCCACGUUUUUCUCACCAAUAAAUGAAGGCUUUGGGAAGGGAUGCUUUUAGCUCGGGUACUUCUUAUUUUUCUGUUGCAGCUCAUUUGUUUCAAGAUCUGAAAUUCUGUUUGCCAAAACCCCUUAAGAAUGGGACGAAAGUGAUUUUUUUUAAGUGAUUCACAAAACCAGGAUAUUGCCAAAGAAAAAUACCUCAGCCUACAUCACCUGGACUUUCUGUCAACUUUUCCUUGCUUUUGCUUGUCUGGCACCUGUCUGAUGGAAUGGUGUGUGCCUGGCGGCAGCUGCCUUUUGAAACAACCUUUAUUUUCAAAUGGGUUCUUCUUUACCUAUUAAAUCCCAUCCCUCUGCCCUUUGUGGAACUGGCCUUCUACCUAAACCUAGUUCCAUCUGCUCUAAAUGUUACACACGUUUGCUUUGUAAUCUUGAAACAAUUCUCCAAAACUGUCUAGGUAUAUUUGGAUGAAAAACGUCAAUUGUAUGGAAGUUGUUUUGUUUUCUGUUAAUCAUUUACUUGUCUCAGCAGAUAUCGCCACACAGAUAGAGAGACUAAUUAGGGUCUAAGCAUAUAGACAACUAUUAAAAAGAAAUAACAUGUCAUACAUUUUGGGACACUUCAUAGAUGUUUUUGUACUUUGAUGAAGAAUGUGGAUACUACAAAAGAAAAUCAGGUUUUAACAAAACUCUUACAGAAAUGACAUAUCCAAUAUAUUCAUAUAUAUACACAAGAAUUAUGUGUGACAGGUUGGGAUGUGUGCAUAUAUGAAUAUAUUGGUGUGGGGUGUGUGUGUGUGUGUGUGUAUAUAUUUACCUUUAUGCAAGGGAUACAACAAUACACCUUUUUUUCUUCAUAUGAACCAUCCUCCCACUGCCCAUUAUGUGCUAGUCAGUACUAUUUAAAAUACAGAAAUCCUGUUCAUUAAAAUAUCUUAAUUAAAAUAGACAUUUCUUCCCUUAGAAAAAGAAUUAAAACCUUUUAGGGCCUAGCUUUUAAAAGCAACAUGCUACAGUUGAUUUAUUUUGGUGGUUGUUUUUAUGGAUGUGAAAAAUAUUACCACUGCAACUAGCAAGAACUAUAAAUGAUACAUUAUUGCAAUUGUUCUAAAAAAUCAGAACAAAACUAAUUUAUUAUAGUUCUGUCUUCAUUAUACACCACGUGUUGGUGAGUUAAACACAACAAAAUUGUCUUUUAAAAGUGUCUACUAAAGAUAAAAAGAAUAAGAUAACAAUUAACAUGUAGUUUGUUACAUUAAAAAAUUUGAUAUACAUAUUUCUAUUGCCUGUUAGCUUGUUCUAAGCCUCUUUAUUACAAAAAAAAGGAAAGAAAAAGAAAAUUCAUUGUUUAAAGGCAAACAUUCAAUUCAGUUGAUACAACAUUACAGUACAGUCAACUAACAUCAUUCAACGAAGGUAACAAGUCUAGCCUUAGCUUCUUGAGUUAAAAGUCUGUAGACCA
Molecule: long non-coding RNA, 3735 nt
Organism: Chlorocebus sabaeus (green monkey)
Lineage: Eukaryota; Metazoa; Chordata; Mammalia; Primates; Cercopithecidae
Source: RefSeq, a predicted model, not a curated record